RNAcentral lists this ribosomal RNA (300 nucleotides) under Salmonella enterica. RNAcentral describes it as "bacterial SSU rRNA". It matches the Rfam family "Bacterial small subunit ribosomal RNA", at positions 653 to 953 of the family's 1533-position model. Lineage: Bacteria; Pseudomonadati; Pseudomonadota; Gammaproteobacteria; Enterobacterales; Enterobacteriaceae. The record is from RNAcentral.
CCAACGGUUACCAAUUCCAGGUGUAGCGGUGAAAUGUGUAGAGAUUUGGAGGAAUACCGGUGGCGAAGGCGGCCCCCUGGACAAAGACUGACGCUCAGGUGCGAAAGCGUGGGGAGCAAACAGGAUUAGAUACCCUGGUAGUCCACGCCGUAAACGAUGUCUACUUGGAGGUUGUGCCCUUGAGGCGUGGCUUCCGGAGCUAACGCGUUAAGUAGACCGCCUGGGGAGUACGGCCGCAAUGUGUUAAAACUCAAAUGAAUUGACGGGGGCCCGCACAUAGCGGUGAGACAUGGGACCCCG